GGGGGCUAGGAUGAAAUUUGAAAAAAAUAGGCAGGACAGGAAUUUUGAGUAAAAAAAAGGCAGGAUGAGCAACUUGGUAGAAAAAAAAGGCAGGAUGACAAUUUGUGUAAAAAAAGUCAGGAUAAACUAGUAAAAAAAAGGGCAGGACCGAAUAGAGUAAAAAAUAAAAAGGCAAGACAGAGAUUACAACUAAAAAAAAAAGCAGGACAACAUUUUUCAUCCUAGCCCCCCC
Molecule: long non-coding RNA, 232 nt
Filed under: Mytilus galloprovincialis (Mediterranean mussel)
Lineage: Eukaryota; Metazoa; Mollusca; Bivalvia; Mytilida; Mytilidae
Source: RNAcentral